This 555-nucleotide unclassified non-coding RNA is filed under the name Hevea brasiliensis (rubber tree). The record is from RNAcentral. Lineage: Eukaryota; Viridiplantae; Streptophyta; Magnoliopsida; Malpighiales; Euphorbiaceae.
UGUCCAUGCCAGAUCCGCCGAUCCUGUCAAAAAGGUGUAAUAAACCAGUUGGAUUAGUUGCAAAGCAGGGCAACUACAAAAAUCCAUUGGAAACACAAAAAAUAAAAUACUGACUAAUAAAACCUUAUAGGAAAAAUAGAACCAAUAUUAUAAAGACAUUCCAAAACAAUGAUUAAGAAAAACUUAACAAACAUCCAAUUCAUCCACCAUAGACAUAUGAAGAAGAACAGCAAAUGGUCUGUAGCAAAAAAAAAAGACUAAAAAAAAAAUAUUUUAGCGUUGAAUAGAUUUGCAGAUUCUUUUCUUCAAGAACCAACUUAAAAAGUGCAUAAAGAAAAACUGAGAUCUUAUAGAACAAGAAGAACUUCAACAAGCCCACUGGUGCAGUAAUUCAAUGAUUAGGACAAAAAUAAAAAUAAAAAUCUGAAGCUGUUUAAAUUCCAAAAACCAAAAUCUGAAGACAUCUUUUUGAGCUUGAACAAGAAAAUAAAUUCCCAGAACGCCCAUGAUAGAAUGGAUCACAAGAGAAACAAACAAAAACAAAAACAAAAACAA